Mauremys mutica (yellowpond turtle) is the source of this 902-nucleotide long non-coding RNA. RefSeq lists it as uncharacterized. The transcript is spliced from 3 exons. NCBI's taxonomy places the organism in Eukaryota, Metazoa, Chordata, Testudines, Geoemydidae. The record is from RefSeq and is a predicted model, not a curated record.
AUUGCCAAUGCAACAUCAGGAGGCCCAGGCAGGCUUUCUCAUCUGCCCCUAUUGGAGGCAAGAGCGAACACUGGCUGUUAUUUAGCCUUUUCUCCAGGGGAGUCCUGGACAGAGCUCUGAGAGGCAGGAGCAGCCACGGGUGGGACACUGACUGUUGCACUGAUGCUCAUUGGAAAGAAGGCAGGUAACAGACUUCAGACAUAUAAAAGGCUGCUCUAAAGACGAUGCUGAUUGAUUGUUCUCCAGGGCCACUGAAGGCAGGACAAGACGUAACGAGCUUAAUCUGCAGCAAGGGAGAUUCAGUUACGAAGGAUGGUGAUGGGAAGGGAUUAGUCCGAUCUCUGAAUUUCCUGCCUUUGAUGGCUCUGUAGCAUCCAGGAUCACCUCCCUCAUGGGUUAAUUUCCCAAUGCAACACAAAGAGCUUAUGAAUAAACCACCAGAGUUGCUGAUGGCAAAACCUCACACCUGCACAUUCUAAUUGGUCGAGAAGGAGAGAAGAUGGGUCAGCAUAAUUGGUGCCCUCCAGACACUGCAAGCCGGGAAUUAAGGACUUGGCUGGCAGGAGGUUCCGCAGUGAGCCAGAACUGGGCCGUACAGACUUGACAGCAGAAAAAGAGGCUGAAUCAGUCACUCUACUCUGGCCCAGCCAUCGGCACGCCAGGUGGGAAGAAAUCUGAAAGGAGAAGGAACAUAUCCCUUACUCUUUCCCCUUCUACAGAGAACAUCGGGGGCAAGAUUCUGGUGCAAUUCUGGAGUCGCUCCACUGAGUUCAUGGAAAUUACUCAGGGGUUCUCUGGGUCACGGAGAUCAGCCCUUGAUCCAGAGCUAGGGAACCUCAGCAUUACAGAGAUAACAUUGUCCCAGUGAAGAGCUCUAAUAAGGAGUAAAAUUCCCACCCAUC